Molecule: ribosomal RNA, 198 nt
Filed under: uncultured bacterium
Lineage: Bacteria
Description: partial 16S ribosomal RNA
Rfam family: Bacterial small subunit ribosomal RNA
Source: RNAcentral
ACGCUCGACACCUACGGGAGGCGGCAGUGGGGAAUAUUGCACAAUGGGGGAAACCCUGAUGCAGCGACGCCGCGUGGAGGAAGAAGGUCUUCGGAUUGUAAACUCCUGUUGUUGGGGAAAAAGAGGAUGGUACCCAACAAGGAAGUGACGGCUAACUACGUGCCAGCAGCCACGGUAAUCUGAGCGGGCUGGCAAGGC